GCCGGCUUAGCUCAAUGGUAGAGCAACUGACUUGUAAUCAGUAGGUUGUAGGUUCGAGUCCUAUAGCCGGCUCCA
This 75-nucleotide transfer RNA is filed under the name Caloramator australicus. Its description in RNAcentral is "tRNA-Thr". It matches the Rfam family "tRNA". From Rfam's summary of the family: Transfer RNA (tRNA) molecules are approximately 80 nucleotides in length. Their secondary structure includes four short double-helical elements and three loops (D, anti-codon, and T loops). The record is from RNAcentral. Lineage: Bacteria; Bacillati; Bacillota; Clostridia; Eubacteriales; Clostridiaceae. RNAcentral also lists the same sequence under 2 other names.